RNAcentral lists this ribosomal RNA (465 nucleotides) under Vreelandella stevensii. RNAcentral describes it as "partial 16S ribosomal RNA". It matches the Rfam family "Bacterial small subunit ribosomal RNA", at positions 338 to 795 of the family's 1533-position model. The record is from RNAcentral. Lineage: Bacteria; Pseudomonadati; Pseudomonadota; Gammaproteobacteria; Oceanospirillales; Halomonadaceae.
CCUACGGGUGGCUGCAGUGGGGAAUAUUGGACAAUGGGCGAAAGCCUGAUCCAGCCAUGCCGCGUGUGUGAAGAAGGCCUUCGGGUUGUAAAGCACUUUCAGUGGGGAAGAAAGCCUUGGGGCUAAUACCCUCGAGGAAGGACAUCACCCACAGAAGAAGCACCGGCUAACUCCGUGCCAGCAGCCGCGGUAAUACGGAGGGUGCGAGCGUUAAUCGGAAUUACUGGGCGUAAAGCGCGCGUAGGCGGUCUGAUAAGCCGGUUGUGAGAGCCCCGGGCUCAACCUGGGAACGGCAUCCGGAACUGUCAGGCUAGAGUGCAGGAGAGGAAGGUAGAAUUCCCGGUGUAGCGGUGAAAUGCGUAGAGAUCGGGAGGAAUACCAGUGGCGAAGGCGGCCUUCUGGACUGACACUGACGCUGAGGUGCGAAAGCGUGGGUAGCAAACAGGAUUAGAUACCCUGGUAGUC